AGUGAACGCUGGCGGCAGGCCUAACACAUGCAAGUCGAACGGAAGAACAGUGCUUGCUUGUUGUUCCGGCUGGGGAGUGGUGGGUGGGUCAUGUGAAUAUCCGUGUCUAUUGUUUCGUAGGGCCUGAAGCAGGGGCUACUACGACAUUAUCGCAUAUGACGUACGGGGGUGAGCUUGGGAUCUUAGGCUCUUGUGUGAGUGUAUGUGCGGAUGUCGGAUUAGCUAGUUGGCGGGGUACCGGCCCACCAAGGCGACGAUCCGUAGCUGGUCUGAGAGGAUGAUCAGCCACACUGGAACUGAGACACGGUCCAGACUCCUACGGGAGGCAGCAGUGGGGAAUAUUGGACAAUGGGCGCAAGCCUGAUCCAGCCAUGCCGCGUGUGUGAAGAAGGCCUUCGGAUUGUAAAGCCCUUUUGGUGGGUAAGAAAAGCAGUAGGUUAAUACCCCGCUGUUCUGACGGUACCCAAAGAAUAAGCACCGGCUAACUUCGUG
RNAcentral lists this ribosomal RNA (492 nucleotides) under uncultured bacterium. RNAcentral describes it as "partial 16S ribosomal RNA". It matches the Rfam family "Bacterial small subunit ribosomal RNA", at positions 29 to 507 of the family's 1533-position model. The record is from RNAcentral.